Molecule: non-coding RNA, 72 nt
Organism: Dermacentor andersoni
Lineage: Eukaryota; Metazoa; Arthropoda; Arachnida; Ixodida; Ixodidae
Source: the annotation of a RefSeq genome assembly
UCCGGCAUGGUUUAGCGGUUAGUAUAUCUGGCUCUUACCCAUAAAGCCCGGGUUCGAUUCCCGGUGCUGGAA